RNAcentral lists this ribosomal RNA (465 nucleotides) under uncultured bacterium. RNAcentral describes it as "partial 16S ribosomal RNA". It matches the Rfam family "Bacterial small subunit ribosomal RNA", at positions 28 to 507 of the family's 1533-position model. The record is from RNAcentral.
GACGAACGCUGGCGGCGUGCUUAACACAUGCAAGUCGAACGGAAAGGCCCUGCUUGCAGGGUACUCGAGUGGCGAACGGGUGAGUAACACGUGGGUGAUCUGCCCUGCACUUCGGGAUAAGCCUGGGAAACUGGGUCUAAUACCGGAUAGGAGCCAUUUUUAGUGUGAUGGUUGGAAAGUUUUUUCGGUGUAGGAUGAGCUCGCGGCCUAUCAGCUUGUUGGUGGGGUAAUGGCCUACCAAGGCGGCGACGGGUAGCCGGCCUGAGAGGGUGGACGGCCACAAUGGGACUGGGAUACGGCCCAGACUCCGACGGGAGGCAGCAGGGGGGAAUAUUGCACAAUGGGCGGAAGCCUGAUGCAGCGACGCCGCGGGGGGGAUGACGGCCUUCGGGUUGGAAACUCCUUUCGCUAGGGACGAAGCUUUUUGUGACGGUACCUAGAUAAGAAGCACCGGCUAACUACGUG